Molecule: long non-coding RNA, 3863 nt
Organism: Dreissena polymorpha
Lineage: Eukaryota; Metazoa; Mollusca; Bivalvia; Myida; Dreissenidae
Exons: 9
Source: RefSeq, a predicted model, not a curated record
CCACAGUCAGUCUGCUACAGCAGCACAACAUCAUCCAUCAUUGUGGGACUGUAUGGGGACAACAUCCUGGUGUUCAGAGUGGAAUAGUAAACAUGUUAUGUAUGUGCAAGAAAUUAUGUUAUGUGCUGUAACUAUUGUACAAAUAUUUGUGUGCGGACUAAAUAUUUGCUUGUGUGUCACUCAAGUACCUCUUUAUAUGAAUUCUUUUUGAAAUUGGCCAGUCUAUCAACCAGUGGAAAUGUAAGAGAAUACACAUUCAAUCUGCAAUAUGUCAGCAAGUCCUCAUCCAGCUGUUCACUGAACAGGCUACAACUGAUAUCAUAAGAUUGUGGCAAUUAUUUCAACAGUAAUGAAUGUCAUCAUUGAAUAAAAAACACCUUUGUUGUGAACAUAAUUGAAAUGCCCCGUGCUUUAAUAUGAUAAUCUUGUAUACGAGAAGGAAACUGCUGAUUAUGUGCCCUGAACGUUGAUAUAGACUGCUCGCAUAUUGAUGCUCGUGCUGCAUUGACAUACAGGAUAAAUAAAUAAUCAGUUUUCUUACAUGAAGAAAGGCCAGGUACUUUACAAUCCAUCUGAAUAACAGACACCGCAAGGACAAUAUGCAAUUCAGGUAGAUACAUCUCCAAGCUGUGGAGGUAAUUUCCUUUCACUGCCAAGAACCAUACAUGAAUUAAAACACAAUACUGUUAAUACGAACUAUCAAUGUGGAUCCACAGUUACCAGUCCAGCCCUCAUGGAUUCAUAGACAGCAAAGCCGUCAGCCAAGUUGACCAGCUAAGCCACACUCAAGCCCCUGACUGGCUGUUACAGACUCAUGUGACUUACGAAAUGGCAGUGGACACCAAACCAGACUAAAAGACCAAACAUGCACCGUCAGCUCCUGUCCCAACCCAUGUCCCCAAAGUGAAAUCUGAUCAGGAAAUGCAUAAGGUUUUAAUCCUAGAUAAACAUAGUCAAUCUGACAAUCAUCGGGGAUACUUGGCGAUGCUCCAUUUCCGGACAGCACUAGUCCUCACAUCCAGGACCCUGAUAGAGCAAGCGCGACAAACUGCAGAGCACUUCAACAACAACAAUCACCUCAGUAGGGUUUGCAACAUGACAAUGGAGGAAACUGAGUGCAACAAUCUCCUGAAAUUGCUAUUGAGUCAAUGAUGAUGCUUAGGGUGACAUCCACAGAGGCGAUGUUAAUACGUUUGAUUGAAUCGAAAGCCAAAGGCUGAUUGAAACGCUCCCGAGCCCGUUUCCAGGAUAUAAUCCAUAUUGACAAAGUUAUACAAUCGAAGAUCGGUUUCCCAGAACAGCAGACUCUCUUAACAGCUGAACGACUGGAAACUCUGUCAAGCAUUAGGCAGACAUAAGCUGCAGUUGACUCUUGAGUGUGGACUUCAGGACAAACGAGGCGCCUUACACUCACCAGUGGGGUCACCAGGUUCCCUCACUCUAAAACGGUCCCAACAUCUCAACAGAUCACUUGCAUUCCCAUAAAACACUGCUGAGCUAAUGAACAUUGCCACAACGCCAAAAUAAAGGGUACUCCAGGCCCAAUGUCACCGCGGUACCAAUCCGGGCUCCUUCAGCCGCCAUCCAGGUUGAGCAUUGUGGGUCCCAGCAGAAGGAUAAUUAUGCCCAUGGGCUCGCAACUAUCCACGGACUUCUCACAGCAGCAGUGGAACAACAUGGUGGCCAAGCAAGAGGCACCCCAAUACAACAAUCGCCACAGAUCAUUGUCUGGUGACAAUCAGCAACCCACGGUAUCCUAGCAACCAGGCCAUGUUCGCACAGCAACAAUAACAUCAGCAGCAGCAAGACUCGGUUCAGCCAUCUUCAAUGCUUGGACAGCAACCUAAUUGCAGCAGUUUAUUAAGACGCCAGCUCAGUUGACUCACACCGCUCAGAGCAGAUCAGCGGGCUUUCAUGUGGCAGCACAACAAAUCAAAGAGAUCCAUGCGAGGUCAGCCCUCUCAACAGUGCCAUACCCAUGACGAUGAAGUCCUCCAACUCGCCCCAGUACUCACCUUGGUGUCAGGAAAAGGUUCAAGGUCACAUGGGCUUUGGUGACCUUUGCAAGAUUGCAUGUUGGACUGGAGUGAUGAGACAUUUUCCAUUUCAAUUAAGAUUGCAUUGCAAUUAUUUUCUCUUUAAUCGAUACUCAGAGUGAUUGUUAUUACGAAAGGAAUACUUAUGCGUUCUAUUGAUAAACGUCUCCAAACAUAUUAGCCUGAGAUUGAUGUUGGACCCUUGGAUAUUUAGUGUUGAAAUUAAUGGAGUUUUUAGACAAAACUGGAAUGUUAGCGCAUUUCAUAUCCCAUCCUAUAUCGCCAAAUUGAUGGUUUGACUUUUAGAUAUUUGGAAAUGAGGAGGUGAAAAAGAAACAAACACUGUUACAUGUCAGUUUUAAUUCACCCAAAGUAUUUUUUAUUUAACCAACAGCCCCAUGAUCAUCAUGACCUUGCUUGUUCAUUGCCCUCAGACCCUUUGUUAAAAAAAUAAACAAAAUGACUAAGUGAAGUUAACAACAAUGCAUCUUCCUUUUUUUCAGACACUAAUUAACGAAAUUAAACCGGCCAAUUAGAAAAACAUCCUGUUGCAUCAGUUAGUUAUACCUCGGAAGAUCAGUUAUGAAUAAAAUUUAAACACAUGCUACUUUCUAAGAUCCUGUAUUGUUCGUGUUAUAGCCUUGCCUUCUGUUGUGAACAAUAACUAUAAUUGAAGAUCUCAUCUUGGAAUUGUGGGAUGGGUCGGAAACGAGUGGCAUAGUUUAAAAUAAAAUUGCAGAAUGACAAAGCAUACCAAGUCACGUGGCCAGCCAUAAAGUCGUGUGGCAUGUCACAUUGUGGAAUGUGACCAGCGAAUACAUUUCAUGUAGUAUGGGCAUUAUAAUGCUGUCAAUUAUUUGAUAUAUAUGUUUUUGUGUAAUGAAGUCAAAAUUGGUAAUACAAAUUAAGUGAAUGUUACUUGUUAAAAGCAGUUAUAUAAAGAAUUAGUUUAAGCCAAAAUGAAGUAAGUCUUAGUUACAUGUAUUAUUUAAUAUUCUGAAUUAUUACUCGAGAUUUUGGAAAAACUUAGCAUUUAGAGUUUGCAUACGCUGACUUUAUGCUUAAGCAAAGCUGUUUAAAUAAUACUAGUAACUUGUACAAAAUGUCAUAUUUAUUGUCUUCUUUUCAUUAAAUAAAACAUAUCUCAGUAUUGUUUUAUCAGUAAUAUAGCUAGACAUGCUAGUUUUUUUUAAAGAAAGAUUAAACAUUUUGACACUUCUAUUUUGAUCUUUCUGUAUUUCCGUCUGUAUACAAUACGUGUUACUUUGCUUAGAGGAGUCAGUAUUUUAUCAAGAAUCGUGUGUAGUCUCGUAAAAUUAAAAAAGUAAAAUAUUAAUUUAUUACCACAAACUUGUUUUAUCUUCGGUAAAUUGUAAAUUCUGUAUUGACAAUUGGUUUUAUUAUUAAAUAUUAGCACAAAUGUAUCAUAUUUUAAAAGCUGUAUACAUGUUCAAAACGCUGAUAAUAGGCUCGAAAAGCCUAAGUUGUCAUCAUUUAAAGAAAGAUUGUUUGAAAUGAAUAAAAUUUGAAAGGUUAUCUUAACUAAAAUUGCUAUGGUUUGUUUAAGGAUAUGAAAAGACUAUAAUUCUAUGGAAUGCUUUCAAUGAAUUAAUCUAUAAUGAUGAGAUUAUUCGUGAAUACUAACCAACGUUAUAAGUGUUAAUAGCUUAUGGUGGAUCACACACUUAUUACUACCAUGCUCAUAUCUAGUGUUGACGUAUGUAUUCGGACAUAAUAGUUCAUGAUUCUUUGUAAACACUGUGCAGGCUCUAAUAGACUAAUAAAAACCAGAUAUUAAUGCGCGUAAAUGAGUAUAAUAACUUGACC